RNAcentral lists this ribosomal RNA (494 nucleotides) under Bifidobacterium adolescentis. RNAcentral describes it as "bacterial SSU rRNA". It matches the Rfam family "Bacterial small subunit ribosomal RNA", at positions 1046 to 1533 of the family's 1533-position model. The record is from RNAcentral. Lineage: Bacteria; Bacillati; Actinomycetota; Actinomycetes; Bifidobacteriales; Bifidobacteriaceae.
UGGUUGUCGUCAGCUCGUGUCGUGAGAUGUUGGGUUAAGUCCCGCAACGAGCGCAACCCUUAUUGUUAGUUGCCAUCAUUCAGUUGGGCACUCUAGCAAGACUGCCGGUGACAAACCGGAGGAAGGUGGGGAUGACGUCAAAUCAUCAUGCCCCUUAUGGCCUGGGCUACACACGUGCUACAAUGGGAAGUACAACGAGUCGCGAAGUCGCGAGGCUAAGCUAAUCUCUUAAAGCUUCUCUCAGUUCGGAUUGUAGGCUGCAACUCGCCUACAUGAAGCCGGAAUCGCUAGUAAUCGCGGAUCAGCACGCCGCGGUGAAUACGUUCCCGGGCCUUGUACACACCGCCCGUCACACCACGAGAGUUUGUAACACCCGAAGUCGGUGAGGUAACCUUUUGGAGCCAGCCGCCUAAGGUGGGAUAGAUGAUUGGGGUGAAGUCGUAACAAGGUAGCCGUAUCGGAAGGUGCGGCUGGAUCACCUCCUUUCUAAGGAA